RNAcentral lists this unclassified non-coding RNA (240 nucleotides) under soil metagenome. RNAcentral describes it as "partial contains 5.8S ribosomal RNA, internal transcribed spacer 2, and large subunit ribosomal RNA". The record is from RNAcentral.
AACCUAGCACACCUGCGGUGUGUACCUGCGGAGGGAUCAUUAACCUUUCAAAUCAGGGUGCGGCGCGGCCCCCGAGGAGCGGAAACAAUCCUUGGGAGGUAUGCGGGGGCUUCGAGCCCCCCAUUUACGCACGCACGACUGCCAUCCUUACUUUACGAGCACCUUCUGUUCUCCCUCGGCGGGGCGACCUGCCGUUGGAACCGAAUAAACUCUUUUUGCAUCUAGCAUUACCUGUUCCGA